GCGCGAGGUCGAGGCGCGUGAAGUGUAAUAUCAGUGUUGUGUCCAUUAAACACAAACAAACACAUUUAACUCCACAAAAAUAAUCUACAGUCUGUCUUUACUAGUUCUGUACAGUUCAAACACUGAUUUCUAGAUUACCCGCGGAGAGUUAGAUUACUGCAGAGAGCUGCUGAGAAAUGACUCCAGGCAAGGACAUCAGCUACAGCGGACCAGCCAUCAUUCAUAAAACACCACAAAACAGACAUUGGAGUAUUGCUGUGUGGAUUUGAUUGCAUGUAACAACAAGCAUGAGAUGAUCCCCCAUCUCAUCUCAAAAGUAUUGGAUGAAGCUCCAUCUUUCCAGAGAACCAGAGCUCAAUACUGGGAAAUGCAUUGUGCCAGUUGUUUUGUGUUCAUGUGCUCCAAAGAGUCCUAUUUUAUUGCCAAUACUUUUUGCAGAGAUUAGAAAAUGUGUGUUAAUGUGUGCAUGUGCACAUCUGCAUUAUCUAUUGGUGAAAUUAAAUUACCCUUAGAAGU
Long non-coding RNA from Astyanax mexicanus (Mexican tetra), 516 nucleotides. RefSeq lists it as uncharacterized. Lineage: Eukaryota; Metazoa; Chordata; Actinopteri; Characiformes; Acestrorhamphidae. The transcript has 3 exons. The record is from RefSeq and is a predicted model, not a curated record.